This is a non-coding RNA of Polyodon spathula (Mississippi paddlefish), 745 nucleotides long. The record is from the annotation of a RefSeq genome assembly. Lineage: Eukaryota; Metazoa; Chordata; Actinopteri; Acipenseriformes; Polyodontidae.
AUGGCAACAGAAUCCACAACAACAAUGACUUUUAUCAGCAUCUUCAUCUGGGCACUUGUCAUCUGCACUCAGGAAUCCAGUGGACAGUAUACUGUGACUCAGACUCCAGCAGUGAAAUCUGUUCUCCCAGGAGACACAGUCGCUCUGAGCUGUAAAGUCAGCAGUGCAGUGUACAAUAACAACGCACUAGCCUGGUACCAACAGAAACCUGGAGAAGCUCCCAAACUCCUGAUCUAUGCUGCAAGUACCCUUGAGUCUGGGAUCCCAACUCGUUUCAGUGGCAGUGGAUCUGGGACUGACUUCACUCUGACCAUCAGUGGAGUCCAGGCUGAAGAUGCAGGAGAUUACUACUGUCAGAGUUACCACUACGUCAACAGUAGAGAUGUGUUCACACAGUGCUACACACCCGUACAAAAACCUCCCUCAACAGGACUGCAGAUUACCGGAUUGGUGUCGACUGGAUCUUCCGUUCAGAGCGGACAGAAAGACAAGGCUGCCUCCCAGUCUCUCUUCACUGCCAGUUACGUCUCCUAGACCAGUGCGCUCAUUAUACUGGGACCAGUAAACCUCACACACUGAGCCACUGCUUUUGCACCGAAAAAAAUCUGAAUUUUACAUCCAAAAGAUGCUUUUUACAAAUAAAAAAAAAAAGUGAAAUGUGCAGGCGUCUGUCUGUAAGCCUUUCUUUCUUCCAGAGCGUUUGAAGUCAUGGGGAGAUUUAAAUAAAAAUCUACACUGUUGGAAA